Molecule: ribosomal RNA, 301 nt
Filed under: uncultured bacterium
Lineage: Bacteria
Description: partial 16S ribosomal RNA
Rfam family: Bacterial small subunit ribosomal RNA
Source: RNAcentral
CAGUAGCCGCGGGAAUACGGAGGGUGCAAGCGUUAAUCGGAAUUACUGGGCGUAAAGCGCACGCAGGCGGUCUGUCAAGUCAGAUGUGAAAUCCCCGGGCUUAACCUGGGAACUGCAUUUGAAACUGGCAGGCUAGAGUCUUGUAGAGGGGGGUAGAAUUCCAGGUGUAGCGGUGAAAUGCGUAGAGAUCUGGAGGAAUACCGGUGGCGAAGGCGGCCAUCUGGCCUAAUACUGACGCUGAGGUACGAAAGCAUGGGGAGCAAACAGGAUUAGAUACCCCCGUAGUCCUGUCUCUUAUACA